Molecule: ribosomal RNA, 492 nt
Filed under: uncultured bacterium
Lineage: Bacteria
Description: partial 16S ribosomal RNA
Rfam family: Bacterial small subunit ribosomal RNA
Source: RNAcentral
AGUGAACGCUGGCGGUAGGCCUAACACAUGCAAGUCGAACGGCAGCACAGUAAGAGCUUGCUCUUACGGGUGGCGAGUGGCGGACGGGUGAGGAAUACAUCGGAAUCUACUUUUUCGUGGGGGAUAACGUAGGGAAACUUACGCUAAUACCGCAUACGACCUACGGGUGAAAGCAGGGGAUCUUCGGACCUUGCGCGAUUGAAUGAGCCGAUGUCGGAUUAGCUAGUUGGCGGGGUAAAGGCCCACCAAGGCGACGAUCCGUAGCUGGUCUGAGAGGAUGAUCAGCGGGAGUGGAGGGGAGGGGGGGUCGAGGGGGGUGGGGGGGGCGGGAGUGGGGGGUGGGGGAGGAGGGGGGGGAGGGUGGUGGAGCGGUGCCGGGUGGGUGAAGAAGGCCUUCGGGUUGUAAAGCCCUUUUGUUGGGAAAGAAAAGCAGCAGGUUAAUACCCCGCUGUUCUGACGGUACCCAAAGAAUAAGCACCGGCUAACUUCGUG